RNAcentral lists this ribosomal RNA (202 nucleotides) under uncultured bacterium. Its description in RNAcentral is "partial 16S ribosomal RNA". It matches the Rfam family "Bacterial small subunit ribosomal RNA", at positions 1300 to 1500 of the family's 1533-position model. The record is from RNAcentral.
GCAGGCUGCAACUCGCCCUGCAUGAAGUUGGAAUUGCUAGUAAUCGCGAAUCAGAAUGUCGCGGUGAAUACGUUCCCGGGCCCUUGUACACACCGCCCGUCACACCAUGAGAGUCGAUAACACCCGAAGCCUGUGAGCUAACCGCAAGGGGCAGCAGUCGAAGGUGGGGUUGAUGAUUGGGGUGAAGUCGUAACAAGGUAUC